RNAcentral lists this long non-coding RNA (1222 nucleotides) under Triticum aestivum (bread wheat). RNAcentral's name for it is "long non-coding RNA (TAES_LNC017531)". The record is from RNAcentral. Lineage: Eukaryota; Viridiplantae; Streptophyta; Magnoliopsida; Poales; Poaceae.
CACCAACGACCCAAUCCAUGUGAGCAAAUAAAAACACUCUUUAUAUACGUACUCCCUCCGUUCCGAAAUAUAUGACGUUUUAGAAAACGUCCCGACCAGGUGAAAAGGGAGGAAAGUACAGAAGUGCCCCUAAUUUAAAUCGCUAUUGCCGUCGUCUUCCUCGCCGAGCAGAUCCUCUCCAUCCCAGUCGCCGCUGCUGCUUGCUUCCUGCCGCCAGGGUCGCCCCCCAUCCCAGGGCCGCCCCUCUCCCAGGGCCACCCCCCUGUCGCCUGCGCCAAUCCAGCCCCCUGUCGCUGGAGGGGGCCUCACCAACUCGCCUCGUCGGAGGGGGUGCUGCUGCAGACCGUUGUCCCCCUCCCAAGGCCUCGCCAGCUCCAGAGAGUACUGCUUCAGAUCGAGGUACUGCUCGCCGGAGGGGGUACUGCUUCAGAUCGGCAGCCCCAGGUCCAGAUCGCCGCGCCCUCCCAUGCAGCUCCAGGUACUGCUACAGAUAGCCUCCCCACUUGGUCCAGAUCGCCUCCUGAAGUAAAAGUUUGAAAAGGAAAAGCUCAAAAUACUCCAGACAAAGUUUGUUGGUAGAGUACUGUAUCAAUCAAGACAGUUUCAAUGUACAGGUACUGUAUACAGUAAAAAAUUGAUGGCAAAGUAUCAAUCAAGACAAAGUUUCUGAGUACAAGAACUCUAGCAGGCAUACAAGACUGAAAUCGUGCUCAGAUGAAUAUGGAAUUGGCAGUACAGAGUACCUGGAGGGCUUGAAGUAGGCAGCAACAGCAACAGCUCGAAGCAGGCAGCAUCUCCAGCACGACACAACAACCUGCAAGAGAGAAAGACAGUAAUCAACAUGGAAUUUGAUCUGAACUGUACUCCCCCCGAAGAAGAGGACAUACCUAGAGGAGUCGGUCCCGAUGAAGAUGAUAUCGAUGAUAUCGACAUGCACGAGAGCAUUGAUCCUGGUGAAGAUGACAUCGACAUGCACGAUGGCAUUGAUGCCGACGAAGAUGCAGUCGGUGAGCUUCCUCAUCUUCCCUAUAAAGAUGAUGUCACUGUCAACUCAAAUACUCAAUGUGAAAUGAUCAAAAUACAGAAUAAAAUGGAUUAGGAGUAGAGUAUAGCAAUGAUCAUUUUAGUUUGUACCGUACUCCAUUUUGGUAACAUGAGCCUGUACCAAAUUAAACAGUCAAAAACAUUCAGUGUGAAACGCAUUAACAUGAAAGACAGUAGA